Molecule: long non-coding RNA, 680 nt
Filed under: Setaria viridis
Lineage: Eukaryota; Viridiplantae; Streptophyta; Magnoliopsida; Poales; Poaceae
Description: long non-coding RNA (SVIR_LNC011445)
Source: RNAcentral
UUAUAUUACCAUUUCUUUGAUUGCCUUCUCUGCUUACUGACGUGCUUUACGGGAACUGAUCUAUAUCAAGUAGAGCAUGGAACCAGAAUAGCCUCUAACCUAUUGUAUGGCUUAUAUGCUGGUCCUUGUUGCCCUACCAACACCUUCCAGAUUCUGAGAUAGUUUCCAAGGAUUUCUUUUACUGUCACAUACAUACUCAUAUUAUUGGAACUGAUGUGAGGAGGACAUGUGUAUAUCUUAGAGCUCAUGUCAUAGAGAUACAGAUGGUAUUUUAAAACUCAGAAGAUCUUUGUGAUUGUAUUUUCAAAAUUGGAAGUAGGGAACCGGGAUGUCCUCGAACGCUCAAACCCGGCUUACAUCUUACUAGCCUUAGUUUGGUGCUACAAUUCAAUUCAAUGCCCUACCCAGUCCAGUCCUUCCAGACUUUUGCGGUAUAUGCGCCUUUAUAUCUUUGAUAGUUGUUCAAAACUGAAAGCAUCUUUGCCUUUCUUUUGUUUUUGUUUCCAAUGCUUGUUUGUACAUACUUCUCAUGUGUAAUGAUAAUAAUAUUUCUCCCUUGCACCGUAUGCCCUUAGCAUUAUAUAUGUUGUCUUCUCAAGUAUGGAUGAUGGCUGACCUCAUGGUUUAUUUCAGAUGGCAUAUGGAACAAGAGGAUACAUGAAUGAACAGUUCAAUCUUCC